GUAACUUCUUAGACCAAGUCUAGAAACAGUUUGAGGACAAUAACAAUUCCAUUCUAAGAAGAAUCUCCCAACAUUUCUUCUAUCUCAACCUCAACUGCAUCUGCCUGUGAACUUCCAGCUUACCAAGGCUCUAUAUCUUCUGGCAGUGACAAAGGCUCUUUCCGCAUCAUACUUGGGGAAACAGGGAUUCACAAGACCCAGGCUGUUCCCUACAUAUGUUUCCUCCUCCGACAUCAGUUCAUCAGUCAAUCAAGUCAUGUGAGAGUGGAGGCCUUGUAUUCCCUAUUAUUCUUGGGCACUCUCCUCCAAGGAGGGAAAGGCCAGGAGGUCCUUUUAGAGGAUGCACUCUGAGAGCCCGGGCUCCCUAAGGUAUGAGAGUUCUAACCAGCAGGUGUAGACUUUUCAGGAGUGAGGAAUGAGGCAG
This 424-nucleotide long non-coding RNA is filed under the name Pan troglodytes (chimpanzee). RNAcentral describes it as "lincRNA". Lineage: Eukaryota; Metazoa; Chordata; Mammalia; Primates; Hominidae. The record is from RNAcentral.